RNAcentral lists this ribosomal RNA (278 nucleotides) under uncultured bacterium. Its description in RNAcentral is "partial 16S ribosomal RNA". It matches the Rfam family "Bacterial small subunit ribosomal RNA", at positions 333 to 622 of the family's 1533-position model. The record is from RNAcentral.
UGGCUCCUACGGGGGGCAGCAGUCGAGAAUCAUUCACAAUGGGGGAAACCCUGAUGGUGCGACGCCGCGUGGGGGAAUGAAGGGCUUCGGAUUGUAAUCCCCUGUCAUGUGGGAGCAAAUUAAACAGAUAGUACCACAAGAGGAAGAGACGGCUAACUCUGUGCCAGCAGCCGCGGUAAUACAGAGGUCUCAAGCGUUGUUCGGAAUCACUGGGCGUAAAGCGUGCGUAGGCUGUUUCGUAAGUCGUGUGUGAAAGGAGCGGGCUCAACCCGCGGACG